CUGAAGACGGCUCUGCUGGACUACAUCAAGCGCUGCCGCCCGGGCGACAGCGAGAAGCACAACAUGAUAGCCCUGUGCUUCAGCAUGUGCCGAGAAAUAGGGGAGAACCACGAGGCUGCUGCUCGCACUCAGCUUAAACUCAUCGAGUCCCAGCCGUGGGAGGAGUCUCUUCAAGACGUAGCAAAUUUAAAGAAGCUGCUGAUGAAAGCUCUGACUCUCUUUAUUGAUGCAGCAGAAAGUUAUUCUAAGGACUCCUGCGUGCGGCAGGCCUUGCGCUGCCGGCGGC
Molecule: non-coding RNA, 286 nt
Organism: Tinamus guttatus (white-throated tinamou)
Lineage: Eukaryota; Metazoa; Chordata; Aves; Tinamiformes; Tinamidae
Source: RefSeq, a predicted model, not a curated record